This 522-nucleotide long non-coding RNA is filed under the name Salmo salar (Atlantic salmon). RNAcentral describes it as "lncRNA (ENSSSAG00000084323.1, ENSSSAG00020082435.1, ENSSSAG00075016148.1)". Lineage: Eukaryota; Metazoa; Chordata; Actinopteri; Salmoniformes; Salmonidae. The record is from RNAcentral.
GCUGAAUGAUAUCGAGGCAGCCCCAGGCUGAAACACAUUAUCGCUUUUGGCAAGUGGCCGAUCAGAGGACAAUGGGCUUAGGCGCGUGCCCGACGUGACCCCAUGCUUUAUUUUCUUUCGUCUGUUUACCUAAAUGCAGAUUCCCGGUUGGAAUAUUAUCGCUUUUUUACGAGAAAAAUGGCAUAAAAAUUGAUUUUAAACAGCGGUUGACAUGCUUCGAAGUACGGUAAUGGAAUAUUUAGACCUUUUUUGUCACGAAAUGCGCCAUGCUCGUCACCCUUCUUUACCCUUUCGGAUAGUGUCUUGAACGCACGAACAAAAUGCCGCUAUUUGGAUAUAACAAUGGAUUAUUUGGGACCAAACCAACAUUUGUUAUUGAAGUAGAUGUCCUGGGAGUGCAUUCUGACGAAGAACAGCAAAGGUAUACAGACAAGGAGGCAUACAAAGACUUCACCCUCCCAACACCUCUGAUGAAUAUAACAGGAAACCUGUUCCAUCACCAUACACUGCAAAAUCAUUCUG